RNAcentral lists this ribosomal RNA (253 nucleotides) under uncultured bacterium. Its description in RNAcentral is "partial 16S ribosomal RNA". It matches the Rfam family "Bacterial small subunit ribosomal RNA", at positions 524 to 776 of the family's 1533-position model. The record is from RNAcentral.
UACGUAGGUGGCGAGCGUUGUCCGGAUUUACUGGGCGUAAAGAGCGCGCAGGCGGUCGUGCAAGUCGCGUGUGAAAGCCCCCGGCUCAACCGGGGAAGUGCAUCCGAAACUGGCAGGCUAGAGUACGAAAGAGGGUCGCGGAAUUCCCGGUGUAGAGGUGAAAUUCGUAGAUAUCGGGAGGAACACCGGUGGCGAAGGCGGCGACCUGGGUCGAUACUGACGCUGAGACGCGAAAGCGUGGGGAGCAAACAGG